This 1293-nucleotide ribosomal RNA is filed under the name Salmonella enterica. Its description in RNAcentral is "partial 23S ribosomal RNA". It matches the Rfam family "Bacterial large subunit ribosomal RNA", at positions 1658 to 2925 of the family's 2925-position model. The record is from RNAcentral. Lineage: Bacteria; Pseudomonadati; Pseudomonadota; Gammaproteobacteria; Enterobacterales; Enterobacteriaceae.
CACAGGUGGUCAGGUAGAGAAUACCAAGGCGCUUGAGAGAACUCGGGUGAAGGAACUAGGCAAAAUGGUGCCGUAACUUCGGGAGAAGGCACGCUGACACGUAGGUGAAGUGAUUUACUCAUGGAGCUGAAGUCAGUCGAAGAUACCAGCUGGCUGCAACUGUUUAUUAAAAACACAGCACUGUGCAAACACGAAAGUGGACGUAUACGGUGUGACGCCUGCCCGGUGCCGGAAGGUUAAUUGAUGGGGUCAGCGCAAGCGAAGCUCCUGAUCGAAGCCCCGGUAAACGGCGGCCGUAACUAUAACGGUCCUAAGGUAGCGAAAUUCCUUGUCGGGUAAGUUCCGACCUGCACGAAUGGCGUAAUGAUGGCCAGGCUGUCUCCACCCGAGACUCAGUGAAAUUGAACUCGCUGUGAAGAUGCAGUGUACCCGCGGCAAGACGGAAAGACCCCGUGAACCUUUACUAUAGCUUGACACUGAACAUUGAGCCUUGAUGUGUAGGAUAGGUGGGAGGCUUUGAAGUGUGGACGCCAGUCUGCAUGGAGCCGACCUUGAAAUACCACCCUUUAAUGUUUGAUGUUCUAACGUGGACCCGUGAUCCGGGUUGCGGACAGUGUCUGGUGGGUAGUUUGACUGGGGCGGUCUCCUCCUAAAGAGUAACGGAGGAGCACGAAGGUUGGCUAAUCCUGGUCGGACAUCAGGAGGUUAGUGCAAUGGCAUAAGCCAGCUUGACUGCGAGCGUGACGGCGCGAGCAGGUGCGAAAGCAGGUCAUAGUGAUCCGGUGGUUCUGAAUGGAAGGGCCAUCGCUCAACGGAUAAAAGGUACUCCGGGGAUAACAGGCUGAUACCGCCCAAGAGUUCAUAUCGACGGCGGUGUUUGGCACCUCGAUGUCGGCUCAUCACAUCCUGGGGCUGAAGUAGGUCCCAAGGGUAUGGCUGUUCGCCAUUUAAAGUGGUACGCGAGCUGGGUUUAGAACGUCGUGAGACAGUUCGGUCCCUAUCUGCCGUGGGCGCUGGAGAACUGAGGGGGGCUGCUCCUAGUACGAGAGGACCGGAGUGGACGCAUCACUGGUGUUCGGGUUGUCAUGCCAAUGGCACUGCCCGGUAGCUAAAUGCGGAAGAGAUAAGUGCUGAAAGCAUCUAAGCACGAAACUUGCCCCGAGAUGAGUUCUCCCUGAGACUUUAGGUCUCCUGAAGGAACGUUGAAGACGACGACGUUGAUAGGCCGGGUGUGUAAGCGCAGCGAUGCGUUGAGCUAACCGGUACUAAUGAACCGUGAGGCUUAACCUUACA